CGGAGUUACGCGGCAGUGGGCGGGGUCUAGUGUGGGCGGCUCUUCACCACCGGCGCUCACUGCGCUCCGAGAGAAGCCUGCAGCGGACGCAACACGCCGUACAGGUCCAUCUGUGUUUCUCUCUCUUCCUCUGUGCUACACGCUGAAGAACAGGAACCUAGACGCAGAUCUCAUCAGGUGCUUGUCCCGCUGAGAGACUCCACAGGGCCCUGAACCCACCUCCUAAAUACGCCACCAAUCGUCACUGGAGUAUCACCACCUAGACAGGAGUAAGGAGUGA
Molecule: long non-coding RNA, 280 nt
Filed under: Sinocyclocheilus grahami
Lineage: Eukaryota; Metazoa; Chordata; Actinopteri; Cypriniformes; Cyprinidae
Description: lncRNA (ENSSGRG00000021497.1)
Source: RNAcentral